RNAcentral lists this microRNA (22 nucleotides) under Arabidopsis lyrata. Its description in RNAcentral is "aly-miR399d-5p". Its record names the gene aly-miR399d-5p. Lineage: Eukaryota; Viridiplantae; Streptophyta; Magnoliopsida; Brassicales; Brassicaceae. The record is from miRBase by way of RNAcentral.
GGGCGAAUACUCCUAUGGCAGA